Cyanistes caeruleus (blue tit) is the source of this 501-nucleotide non-coding RNA. NCBI's taxonomy places the organism in Eukaryota, Metazoa, Chordata, Aves, Passeriformes, Paridae. The record is from RefSeq and is a predicted model, not a curated record.
AUAAAGGAAAGAACUACAUGCAUUAUUUCAAGGAAUGAAGUUUACAAUAGGAAUUUAAAGAGAUAGCUAUAAACUUAGUUAAGUGAGGAUUAGUACAGACUGUGGUGCACAUUGAAUCCAGACUGCAGAUUUGUGGAUUUUCAUUUUAUACUAGGUAAACAACCACACUGCACCACUAAUGAUAUGCUGCCUGCUUUCUGGGUCCCCAUCCCAAGACAGCCACAGUCUGCAUUUCGUAGAUGCUGACAAGUCAGUGCAGCUGAAGCCAGCAUAUGCCAUGAGUGACUGGUGGACAUCAGACAAGUUCCAGUCAUCUCCAGUGAAGAAUGCAGAAAUCAUUUUGAGACAACUUCAAAGUCAACUGGCAUAUAUGUGGCACCAAACUGCACCCUUCAGAUGACUGAGAUUUUUUACAUAUGAGCACAUUCUUUCUUACAAGAGUUUGCAAAUGCUUGAGUGAUACUUGUAUUAAUGUAAUAAAAGAAGUGCAAGUCCAACCAA